This 1003-nucleotide ribosomal RNA is filed under the name uncultured bacterium. Its description in RNAcentral is "bacterial SSU rRNA". It matches the Rfam family "Bacterial small subunit ribosomal RNA", at positions 335 to 1336 of the family's 1533-position model. The record is from RNAcentral.
ACUCCUACGGGAGGCAGCAGUGGGGAAUUUUGGACAAUGGGCGAAAGCUCGAUCCAGCAAUGCCGCGUGAGUGAAGAAGGCCUUCGGGUUGUAAAGCUCUUUUGUCAGGGAAGAAACGGUGUGGGCUAAUAUCCCGCACUAAUGACGGUACCUGAAGAAUAAGCACCGGCUAACUACGUGCCAGCAGCCGCGGUAAUACGUAGGGUGCAAGCGUUAAUCGGAAUUACUGGGCGUAAAGCGUGCGCAGGCGGUUUUGUAAGUUUGUCGUGAAAGCCCCGGGCUCAACCUGGGAAUUGCGAUGAAGACUGCAAGGCUUGAAUCUGGCAGAGGGGGGUAGAAUUCCACGUGUAGCAGUGAAAUGCGUAGAGAUGUGGAGGAACACCGAUGGCGAAGGCAGCCCCCUGGGUCAAGAUUGACGCUCAUGCACGAAAGCGUGGGGAGCAAACAGGAUUAGAUACCCUGGUAGUCCACGCCCUAAACGAUGUCUACUAGUUGUCGGGUUUUAAUUGACUUGGUAACGCAGCUAACGCGUGAAGUAGACCGCCUGGGGAGUACGGUCGCAAGAUUAAAACUCAAAGGAAUUGACGGGGACCCGCACAAGCGGUGGAUGAUGUGGAUUAAUUCGAUGCAACGCGAAAAACCUUACCUACCCUUGACAUGGACGGAAGCCACGAGAGAUCGAGGUGUGCUCGAAAGAGAACCGUCACACAGGUGCUGCAUGGCUGUCGUCAGCUCGUGUCGUGAGAUGUUGGGUUAAGUCCCGCAACGAGCGCAACCCUUGUCAUUAGUUGCUACGAAAGAGCACUCUAAUGAGACUGCCGGUGACAAACCGGAGGAAGGUGGGGAUGACGUCAAGUCCUCAUGGCCCUUAUGGGUAGGGCUUCACACGUCAUACAAUGGUACAUACAGAGGGCCGCCAACCCGCGAGGGGGAGCUAAUCCCAGAAAGUGUAUCGUAGUCCGGAUUGUAGUCUGCAACUCGACUACAUGAAGUUGGAAUCGCU